This 492-nucleotide ribosomal RNA is filed under the name uncultured bacterium. RNAcentral's name for it is "partial 16S ribosomal RNA". It matches the Rfam family "Bacterial small subunit ribosomal RNA", at positions 29 to 507 of the family's 1533-position model. The record is from RNAcentral.
AGUGAACGCUGGCGGUAGGCCUAACACAUGCAAGUCGAACGGCAGCACAGUAAGAGCUUGCUCUUACGGGUGGCGAGUGGCGGACGGGUGAGGAAUACAUCGGAAUCUACUUUUUCGUGGGGGAUAACGUAGGGAAACUUACGCUAAUACCGCAUACGACCUACGGGUGAAAGCAGGGGAUCUUCGGACCUUGCGCGAUUGAAUGAGCCGAUGUCGGAUUAGCUAGUUGGCGGGGUAAAGGCCCACCAAGGCGACGAUCCGUAGCUGGUCUGAGAGGAUGAUCAGCCACACUGGAACUGAGACACGGUCCAGACUCCUACGGGAGGCAGCAGUGGGGAAUAUUGGACAAUGGGCGCAAGCCUGACCCAGCCAUACCGCGUGGGUGAAGAAGGCCUUCGGGUUGUAAAGCCCUUUUGUUGGGAAAGAAAAGCAGCAGGUUAAUACCCCGCUGCUCUGACGGUACCCAAAGAAUAAGCACCGGCUAACUUCGUG